AAACUAUAUACCGAUGGAUUCAUCCAGGUCCAAGAACUUUUAUUGUUUCAUAGCUGUGCCUUGGGAAAAUCCAAUCUUACCCACUGAAUCAGAAGCUUGGUUUCCAUCUCGUAUAUUAUGUGUUUCAUCCGAACAAUGCUCCACUCAUGAAGGAAGGUUCCACUUCUAGAAAGGCUCUCUGCGUCCACAGAUUUCUUCCAUGAUCAGAGUGCUAGAAAAUAUCAGCUGGCAAACAUCAGGAAGACGCGGAUAACUUUUAAAAACCUUAUACAGAUAUUCAAAUAACUCCUGAUGCCCACAGAAGCAAGAACAGAUUGUGCACAAAGGCAAGUUCUCCAUUGCGAAACGGAGACUCUGGAGAUGGAUUCAGAAGACUGGAUAAGAGUCACUUCAAAGCUUCCUUAAAAGUGCAGAGGGAUGGUAAUGCUGGCUAAAAACCAAAUGGUUGAAGGAUAUAGAUGCCACAUGGAAAACUGUUAAGCAAUGACCACUUUGCUUGUGGCAAUUUGCA
This is a non-coding RNA of Podarcis muralis (Common wall lizard), 511 nucleotides long. The record is from RefSeq and is a predicted model, not a curated record. NCBI's taxonomy places the organism in Eukaryota, Metazoa, Chordata, Lepidosauria, Squamata, Lacertidae.